CACGUAGGGGGCAAGCGUUGUCCGGAUUUAUUGGGCGUAAAGAGCUCGUAGGCGGUUCGGUAAGUCGGGUGUGAAACCUCCAGGCUCAACCUGGAGAUGCCACCUGAUACUGCUGUGACUCGAGUCCGGUAGGGGAGCGUGGAAUUCCUGGUGUAGCGGUGAAAUGCGCAGAUAUCAGGAAGAACACCCGUGGCGAAAGCGCUCAUCUGGCCCAAUACUGACGCUGAAGCACGAAAGCUAGGGGAGCAAACGGG
This 254-nucleotide ribosomal RNA is filed under the name uncultured bacterium. RNAcentral's name for it is "partial 16S ribosomal RNA". It matches the Rfam family "Bacterial small subunit ribosomal RNA", at positions 524 to 776 of the family's 1533-position model. The record is from RNAcentral.